GAUAGCUCUGUUGGAUAGAGCAUGGUGCUGAUAACACCAAGGUUGCAGUUUCAAUCCCUGUAUGGGACA
This 69-nucleotide transfer RNA is filed under the name Podarcis lilfordi (Lilford's wall lizard). RNAcentral describes it as "tRNA.Ile". The stretch from base 3 to 61 matches the Rfam family "tRNA", at positions 8 to 63 of the family's 71-position model. From Rfam's summary of the family: Transfer RNA (tRNA) molecules are approximately 80 nucleotides in length. Their secondary structure includes four short double-helical elements and three loops (D, anti-codon, and T loops). The record is from RNAcentral. Lineage: Eukaryota; Metazoa; Chordata; Lepidosauria; Squamata; Lacertidae.